GAAAUGCGAUAAGUAAUGUGAAUUGCAGAAUUCAGUGAAUCAUCGAAUCUUUGAACGCACAUUGCGCCCGCCAGUAUUCUGGCGGGCAUGCCUGUUCGAGCGUCAUUUCAACCAUCAAGCCCCCGGGCUUGUGUUGGGGACCUGCGGCUGCCGCCGGCCCCGAAAACCAGUGGCGGGCUCGCUGUCACACCGGGCGUAGUAGAUUUUUCGUCUCGCCCAGGGCGUGCUGCGGGUUCCGGCCGUUAAAAAGCCUCUCUUUUAACCCAAGGUUGACCUCGGAUCAGGUAGGAAGACCCGCUGAACUUAAGC
This 309-nucleotide unclassified non-coding RNA is filed under the name plant metagenome. RNAcentral's name for it is "partial contains 5.8S ribosomal RNA, internal transcribed spacer 2, and large subunit ribosomal RNA". The stretch from base 1 to 105 matches the Rfam family "5.8S ribosomal RNA", at positions 50 to 154 of the family's 154-position model. The record is from RNAcentral.